This 2923-nucleotide ribosomal RNA is filed under the name Klebsiella pneumoniae. RNAcentral describes it as "23S ribosomal RNA". It matches the Rfam family "Bacterial large subunit ribosomal RNA". The record is from RNAcentral. Lineage: Bacteria; Pseudomonadati; Pseudomonadota; Gammaproteobacteria; Enterobacterales; Enterobacteriaceae.
GGGUUGUGAGGUUAAGCGACUAAGCGUACACGGUGGAUGCCCUGGCAGUCAGAGGCGAUGAAGGACGUGCUAAUCUGCGAAAAGCGUCGGUAAGGUGAUAUGAACCGUUAUAACCGGCGAUGUCCGAAUGGGGAAACCCAGUGUGAUUCGUCACACUAUCGUUAACUGAAUACAUAGGUUAACGAGGCGAACCGGGGGAACUGAAACAUCUAAGUACCCCGAGGAAAAGAAAUCAACCGAGAUUCCCCCAGUAGCGGCGAGCGAACGGGGAGCAGCCCAGAGUCUGAAUCAGCUUGUGUGUUAGUGGAACGGUCUGGAAAGUCCGACGGUACAGGGUGAUAGUCCCGUACACCAAAAUGCACAGGCUGUGAACUCGAAGAGUAGGGCGGGACACGUGGUAUCCUGUCUGAAUAUGGGGGGACCAUCCUCCAAGGCUAAAUACUCCUGACUGACCGAUAGUGAACCAGUACCGUGAGGGAAAGGCGAAAAGAACCCCGGCGAGGGGAGUGAAAAAGAACCUGAAACCGUGUACGUACAAGCAGUGGGAGCACCUUCGGGUGUGACUGCGUACCUUUUGUAUAAUGGGUCAGCGACUUAUAUUCUGUAGCAAGGUUAACCGUAUAGGGGAGCCGCAGGGAAACCGAGUCUUAACUGGGCGUUAAGUUGCAGGGUAUAGACCCGAAACCCGGUGAUCUAGCCAUGGGCAGGUUGAAGGUUGGGUAACACUAACUGGAGGACCGAACCGACUAAUGUUGAAAAAUUAGCGGAUGACUUGUGGCUGGGGGUGAAAGGCCAAUCAAACCGGGAGAUAGCUGGUUCUCCCCGAAAGCUAUUUAGGUAGCGCCUCGUGAACUCAUCUUCGGGGGUAGAGCACUGUUUCGGCUAGGGGGUCAUCCCGACUUACCAACCCGAUGCAAACUACGAAUACCGAAGAAUGUUAUCACGGGAGACACACGGCGGGUGCUAACGUCCGUCGUGAAGAGGAAACAACCCAGACCGCCAGCUAAGGUCCCAAAGUCAUGGUUAAGUGGGAAACGAUGUGGGAAGGCACAGACAGCCGGAUGUUGGCUUAGAAGCAGCCAUCAUUUAAAGAAAGCGUAAUAGCUCACUGGUCGAGUCGGCCUGCGCGGAAGAUGUAACGGGGCUAAACCAUGCACCGAAGCUGCGGCAGCGACACUAUGUGUUGUUGGGUAGGGGAGCGUUCUGUAAGCCUGCGAAGGUGACCUGUGAGGGUUGCUGGAGGUAUCAGAAGUGCGAAUGCUGACAUAAGUAACGAUAAAGCGGGUGAAAAGCCCGCUCGCCGGAAGACCAAGGGUUCCUGUCCAACGUUAAUCGGGGCAGGGUGAGUCGACCCCUAAGGCGAGGCCGAAAGGCGUAGUCGAUGGGAAACAGGUUAAUAUUCCUGUACUUGGUGUUACUGCGAAGGGGGGACGGAGAAGGCUAUGUUAGCCGGGCGACGGUUGUCCCGGUUUAAGCAUGUAGGCUGGUUAUCCAGGCAAAUCCGGAUAAUCAAGGCUGAGGUGUGAUGACGAGGCACUACGGUGCUGAAGUAACAAAUGCCCUGCUUCCAGGAAAAGCCUCUAAGCAUCAGGUAACAUCAAAUCGUACCCCAAACCGACACAGGUGGUCAGGUAGAGAAUACCAAGGCGCUUGAGAGAACUCGGGUGAAGGAACUAGGCAAAAUGGUGCCGUAACUUCGGGAGAAGGCACGCUGGUGUGUAGGUGAAGUCCCUGCGGAUGGAGCUGAGACCAGUCGAAGAUACCAGCUGGCUGCAACUGUUUAUUAAAAACACAGCACUGUGCAAACACGAAAGUGGACGUAUACGGUGUGACGCCUGCCCGGUGCCGGAAGGUUAAUUGAUGGGGUUAUCCGUAAGGAGAAGCUCUUGAUCGAAGCCCCGGUAAACGGCGGCCGUAACUAUAACGGUCCUAAGGUAGCGAAAUUCCUUGUCGGGUAAGUUCCGACCUGCACGAAUGGCGUAAUGAUGGCCCAGGCUGUCUCCACCCGAGACUCAGUGAAAUUGAACUCGCUGUGAAGAUGCAGUGUACCCGCGGCAAGACGGAAAGACCCCGUGAACCUUUACUAUAGCUUGACACUGAACAUUGAGCCUUGAUGUGUAGGAUAGGUGGGAGGCUUUGAAGCGUGGACGCCAGUCUGCGUGGAGCCAACCUUGAAAUACCACCCUUUAAUGUUUGAUGUUCUAACGUUGGCCCCUGACCGGGGUUGCGGACAGUGUCUGGUGGGUAGUUUGACUGGGGCGGUCUCCUCCCAAAGCGUAACGGAGGAGCACGAAGGUUAGCUAAUCCCUGGUCGGACAUCAGGAGGUUAGUGCAAUGGCAUAAGCUAGCUUGACUGCGAGCGUGACGGCGCGAGCAGGUGCGAAAGCAGGUCAUAGUGAUCCGGUGGUUCUGAAUGGAAGGGCCAUCGCUCAACGGAUAAAAGGUACUCCGGGGAUAACAGGCUGAUACCGCCCAAGAGUUCAUAUCGACGGCGGUGUUUGGCACCUCGAUGUCGGCUCAUCACAUCCUGGGGCUGAAGUAGGUCCCAAGGGUAUGGCUGUUCGCCAUUUAAAGUGGUACGCGAGCUGGGUUUAGAACGUCGUGAGACAGUUCGGUCCCUAUCUGCCGUGGGCGCUGGAGAAUUGAGGGGGGCUGCUCCUAGUACGAGAGGACCGGAGUGGACGCAUCACUGGUGUUCGGGUUGUCAUGCCAAUGGCACUGCCCGGUAGCUAAAUGCGGAAGAGAUAAGUGCUGAAAGCAUCUAAGCACGAAACUUGCCCCGAGAUGAGUUCUCCCUGAGACUUUAAGUCUCCUGAAGGAACGUUGAAGACGACGACGUUGAUAGGCCGGGUGUGUAAGCGCAGCGAUGCGUUGAGCUAACCGGUACUAAUGAACCGUGAGGCUUAACCUUACAACGCCGAAG